GGCGAUUUCCGAAUGGGGAAACCCAGUGUGUUUCGACACACUAUCAUUAACUGAAUCCAUAGGUUAAUGAGGCGAACCGGGGGAACUGAAACAUCUAAGUACCCCGAGGAAAAGAAAUCAACCGAGAUUCCCCCAGUAGCGGCGAGCGAACGGGGAGCAGCCCAGAGCCUGAAUCAGUGUGUGUGUUAGUGGAAGCGUCUGGAAAGGCGCGCGAUACAGGGUGACAGCCCCGUACACAAAAAUGCACAUGCUGUGAGCUCGAUGAGUAGGGCGGGACACGUGGUAUCCUGUCUGAAUAUGGGGGGACCAUCCUCCAAGGCUAAAUACUCCUGACUGACCGAUAGUGAACCAGUACCGUGAGGGAAAGGCGAAAAGAACCCCGGCGAGGGGAGUGAAAAAGAACCUGAAACCGUGUACGUACAAGCAGUGGGAGCACGCUUAGGCGUGUGACUGCGUACCUUUUGUAUAAUGGGUCAGCGACUUAUAUUCUGUAGCAAGGUUAACCGAAUAGGGGAGCCGAAGGGAAACCGAGUCUUAACUGGGCGUUAAGUUGCAGGGUAUAGACCCGAAACCCGGUGAUCUAGCCAUGGGCAGGUUGAAGGUUGGGUAACACUAACUGGAGGACCGAACCGACUAAUGUUGAAAAAUUAGCGGAUGACUUGUGGCUGGGGGUGAAAGGCCAAUCAAACCGGGAGAUAGCUGGUUCUCCCCGAAAGCUAUUUAGGUAGCGCCUCGUGAAUUCAUCUCCGGGGGUAGAGCACUGUUUCGGCAAGGGGGUCAUCCCGACUUACCAACCCGAUGCAAACUGCGAAUACCGGAGAAUGUUAUCACGGGAGACACACGGCGGGUGCUAACGUCCGUCGUGAAGAGGGAAACAACCCAGACCGCCAGCUAAGGUCCCAAAGUCAUGGUUAAGUGGGAAACGAUGUGGGAAGGCCCAGACAGCCAGGAUGUUGGCUUAGAAGCAGCCAUCAUUUAAAGAAAGCGUAAUAGCUCACUGGUCGAGUCGGCCUGCGCGGAAGAUGUAACGGGGCUAAACCAUGCAC
RNAcentral lists this ribosomal RNA (1046 nucleotides) under Escherichia coli. Its description in RNAcentral is "partial 23S ribosomal RNA". It matches the Rfam family "Bacterial large subunit ribosomal RNA", at positions 106 to 1194 of the family's 2925-position model. Lineage: Bacteria; Pseudomonadati; Pseudomonadota; Gammaproteobacteria; Enterobacterales; Enterobacteriaceae. The record is from RNAcentral.